RNAcentral lists this long non-coding RNA (4411 nucleotides) under Anas zonorhyncha (Eastern spot-billed duck). RNAcentral describes it as "lncRNA (ENSAZOG00000016567.1)". Lineage: Eukaryota; Metazoa; Chordata; Aves; Anseriformes; Anatidae. The record is from RNAcentral.
GUUUCAGAGGAUGUGGUGGAGUCUGUGGAGGUCUCCUGGGAGGUGGUGGAGGUUAUUGUGGAGGUCACUGGAGUGGUGGUGAGGCCUGUGGUGGUCCCUGGAGCUGUACUGGAGGCCGUGGAGGUCUCAGCUGAGGUGUUGGAGGCUGCUGUGGAGGUCUCGGGGGUUGUAGUGAGUUUUGUGGAGGUCCCAGGAGUGGUUGAGUAGAAAGUGGAGGUCUCUGAGGAGGAGGUGGAUGCCGUGGUAGAGGUCCCUGGAGUGGAGGUGAGACCUGUGGAGGUUCCUGGAGCUGUACUGGAGGCUGUGGUGGUCUCAGCUGAUGUGGUGGAGGCCACAGUGGAGGUCAUGGAGGUUGUACUGAGUCCUGUGGAGGUUCCUGGAGUGGUUGAGGACACAGUGGAGUUCUCUGAGGAGGUGGUGGAGGCCGUGGUAGUGGACGCUGGAGUAGAGGUCAGGCCUGUGGAGGUUCCUGCUGUUGUACUGGAAGCGGUGGAGGUCUCAACUGAGGUGGUGGAGGCUGCUGUGGAGGUCACGACGGUUGAUGUGAGUCCUGUGGAGGUCCCUGGAGUGGUUGAGGAGGCUGUGGAGGUCUCUUGGGAGGUGGUGGAGGCCGUGGUAGUGGACGCUGGAGUAGAGGUCAGGCCUGUGGAGGUUCCUGCUGUUGUACUGGAAGCGGUGGAGGUCUCAACUGAGGUGGUGGAGGCCACAGUGGAGGUCCCCAAAGUGGAGGUGAGGCCUGUGGAUGUUGCUGGAGUUGUGCUGGAGACAGUGGAGGUCUCACCAGAGGUUGUGGAGGAUGAUGUGGAGGUCACCAGAGUGGAGGUGAGGCCAGUGGAAGUGCCUGGAGUUGUACUGGAGGCUGUGGAGGUCUCAGAAGACAUGGUCGAGGCUGAUGUGGAGGUCAAAGGAGUGGAAGUGAGGCCUGUGGAGGUGCCUGGAGUUGUUGAGGAGGCCGUGGAGGUCUCAGAAGAUGUGGUGGAGGCCACAGUGGAGGACACAGAUGUGGAUGUGAGGCCAGUGGAGGUGCCUGGAGUUGUACUGGAGGCCGUGGAGGUCUCUGGGGAGGUCGUAGAGGCCACAGUCGAGGUCAGGAUUGUUGAAGUGAGGCCUGUGGAGGUCUCCAGAGUAGUGGUGGAGGCUGUGAAGGUCUCAGCUGAGGUGGUGGAGGCUGCUGGAGAGGUCAUCGUAGUUGAAAUCAGGCCUGAAGUGGUCCCUGAAGUGGAGGCCGAGGCCAUGGAGGUCUCAGAGGACGUGGUGGAGGCCGUUGUGGAGGUCACAGGUGUGGGGGUGAGGCCUGUGGAGGUUCCUGGAGUUGUACUGGAGGCCGUGGAAGUCUCAGCUGAGGUGGUGGAGGCCACAGUAGAGGUCAUCGUAGUUGAACUCGAGCCUGUGGUGGUCCCUGAAGUGGAGGCUGAGGAUGUGGAGGUCUCUUGGGGGGUGGUGGAGGCAGAUGUGGAGGUCACAGUCGUGGAGGUGAGGUCUGCGGAGGUUCCUGGAGUAGAAGUGGAGGCAAUGGAGGUCUCAGCUGAGGUGGUGGAGGCCACAGUUGUGGUCAAAAGAGUGGAGGACAAAGCCGUGGAGGUCUCUGAGGAUGUGGUGGAGGCCGUUGUGGAGGUCUCCGGAGUGGAGGUGGAACCAGGGGAAGUUCCUGGAGUUGUACUGGAGGCCGUGGAGGUCUCUGGGGAGGUCGUAGAGGCCACAGUCGAGGUCAGGAUUGUUGAAGUGAGACCUGUGGAGGUCUCUGGAGUAGAGGUGGAGGCCGGGGAGGUCUCAGAUGAGGUUGUAGAGGCUCCUGUGGAGGUCAGUGGUGUGGAGGUGAGACCUGUGGAGGUGCCUGGAGAUAAUGAGGAUGCUGUGGAGGUCUCAGCUGAGGUGGUGGAGGCCACAGUCGAGGUCAUCGUAGCUGAAGUCGGGCCUGUGGUGGUCCCUGAAGUGGAGGCUGAGGACGUGGGAGUCUCUUGGGAGGUGGUGGAGGCAGAUGUGGAGGUCACAGUUGUGGAGGUGAAGCCUGUGGAGGUUCCUGGAGUAGAAGUGGAGGCCGUGGAGGUCUCGGCUGAGGUUGUGGAGGCCACAGUCAAGGUCAUCGUAGAUGGAGUUGGGCCUGUUGUAGUCCCAGAAGUGGAGGCCGAGGCCGUGGAGGUCUCAGGUGAGGUGGUGGAGGCAGAUGUGGAGGUCAGGGUUGUGGAGGUGAGGUCUGUGGAGGUUCCUGGAGUAGAAGUGGAGGCCGUGGAGGUCUCUAAGGACGUGGUGGAGGCCACAUUCGAGAUUUCAGUAGUAGAAGUGAGGGCUGUGGAGGUCCCAGAAGUGGAGGCCGAGGCCGUGGAGGUCUCUUGGGAGGUGGUGGAGGCCGUGGUGGAGGUCUCCGGAGUGGAGGUGGAACCAGGGGAAGUUCCUGGAGUUGUACUGGAGGCCACGGAGGUCUCUGAGGAGGUCGUAGAGGCUCCUGUGGAGGUCACUGGUGUGGAGGUGAGGCCCGUGGAGGUCCCUGGAGUUGUACCAGAGGCCAUGGAGGUCCCCAAAGUGGUGGUGAGGCUCAGGGAGGUCCCCAGAGACUCACUGGAGGUCCAAGUGGUGGUGGUGGAGGCUGUCGUGGAGGCCACUGUGGAGGUGAGGCCAGCAGAGCUCGUUAGGGUGGGGGUAGAGGCCCCCCCUCGGUGGCCUCCGCUCCCCCCCCCCGGGGGCCGNNNNNNNNNNCCCCCCACGGCCUCCCCACACCCAGCGAGGCUUCAGCCUCCACUCUUCCUCUUCCUCCUCCUGCUCCUCCUCCUCCUUGUCCUCCUCUUCCUUCUCAUCCUCCUCUUCCUCCUCCUCCUCCUCUUCCUUGUCCUGCUCUUCCUCCUCCUCUUCCUCCUCCUCCUCCUCUUCCUCCUCCUCCUCUUCCUUUUCCUCCUCCUUUUCCUCCUCCUCCUCCUCUUCCUCGUCUUCCUCCUCUUCCUUGUCCUCCUCCUUAUCCUCCUCCUCCUCCUCAUCCUACUCAUCGUCCUCCUCUUCCUCCUACGCCUCUCCCUCCUCCUCGUCCUCAUCCUCAUCUUCCUCAUUCUCCUCGUCCUCCUCAUCAUCAUCCUCCUCAUCCUCUUCCUCCUCCUCAUUUUCAUCCUCCUCUUCCUCGUCCUCGUCCUCCUCCUCCUCAUCAUCAUCCUCCUUGUCCUCCUCUUCUCGUCAUCCUCCUCAUCCUCAUUUUCAUCCUCCUCCCUGCCCUCCUCAUCCUCCUCCUCCUUGUCCUCGUCCUCCUCCUCCUCUUCAUCCUCCACAUCCUCCUCCUCCUCAUCCUCAUCCUCCUCAUUCUCCUUGUCCUCCUCCUCAUCAUCCUCAUCAUCAUCCUCCUUGUCCUCCUCUUUGUCCUCCUCCUCCUUCUCUUCCUCAUCCUCCUCAUUUUCCUCUUCAUCCUCCUCCUCCUCAUCAUCAUCCUCCUUGUCCUCCUCCUCCUCCUCCUCUUCGUCCUCCUCCUCCUCCUCACCCUCCUCAUCCUCCUUGUCCUCAUCCUCCUCAUUCUCCUCGUCUUCCUCCUCCACAUCCUCCUCCUCAUCAUCAUCCUUGUCCUCCUCCUCCUCUUCAUUCUCCUCCUUCUAUUAGUCCUCUCUUCAUCCUCCUCCUCAUCCUCCUCCUCAUCAUCCUCCUUGUCCUCGUCCUCAUCGUCCUCCUCGUCCUCCUCCUCUUCCUCAUCCUCGUCCUCCUCAUCCUCCUUGUCCUCAUCCUUGUCCUCACCCUCCUCCUUCUCCUCUUCAUCCUCCUCCUCCUCUUCGUCCUCUCUUCAUCUUCCUUAUCCUCAUUUUCAUCUUCCUCCCCGUCCUCCUCACCCUCAUCCACGUCCUCCUCUUCCUCCUCCUCCUCCUCCUCCUCCUCUUCGUCCUCUACAUCCUCCUCCACAUCCUCCUCUUCCCCUUCAUCCUCCUCCUCGUCCUCCUCACCCUCCUCCUCAUCCUCCUUGUCCUCCUCCUCCUCUUCAUCCUCCUCCUUCUCUUUGUCCUCUCUUCAUCCUCCUCAUCCUCAUUUUCAUCCUCCUCCUCCUCAUCAUCCUCCUUGUCCUCGUCCUCCUCUUCUUCUUCAUCCUCCUCAUCCUCUUCCUCCUCCUCGUCCUCAUCCUCCACCUCAUCAUCAUCAUCCUCAUCCUCUUCCUUGUCCUCGUCCUCCUCGUCCUCCUCGUCCUCCUCCUCCUCCUCCUCCUCUUCGUCCUCUACAUCCUCCUCCACAUCCUCCUCUUCCUCUUCAUCCUCCUCCUCGUCCACCUCAUCUUCCUCACCCUCCUCAUCCUCCUUGUCCUCGUCCUCCUCAUCCUCCUCAUCCUCAUCCUCCACCUCAUCAUCCUCCUCCUCAUCCUCUUCCUUGUCCACAUCCUCCUCCACAUCCUCCUCCACAUCCUCAUCCUCCUCAUCCUCCCCCCGUGUCCCCACGUCCCCAUUGUCCCCCCACG